Long non-coding RNA from Antechinus flavipes (yellow-footed antechinus), 2648 nucleotides. RefSeq lists it as uncharacterized. The transcript has 3 exons. NCBI's taxonomy places the organism in Eukaryota, Metazoa, Chordata, Mammalia, Dasyuromorphia, Dasyuridae. The record is from RefSeq and is a predicted model, not a curated record.
GGGCGUGCGGGUGCUGGAAGCAGGUACGUGCGGGGGCCUGCGGACUUAGUUCUCUUCCACCACACCGGCAAACCGGAGGGCCGAGGCUCCCAGAACGUUUUCUUAGCAAAUUCGGACACUACAAUUGCUUAGUGCUUCAAAAGGGGAAAAUUAAGCUGCCUGGUGACUCUACUAAGGGAAUAGAUAGAGAUUAUUCUGGGAAUAUUAGUUUAUACAUCGGAAGGGAAAGCACGGAAUUGGCAUCCUUUAAAAAAAAAAAAAUGAACUCAAAUGCGCCCCAGGAUCCGAGCCUUGGUUCAUGCAGUUAGAAGGAAGGGUCUUCAGGGGCCACUUAGAGAAGUCUCUCAAUUUACCGAUGAGGAAAUUGAGAGCCAGGGAGCUUGCGGUUGGCUCACGAUCACAUGGCCACUAAGAAUGGAGGAGGGGAGGGUGAACCCAGCUCGGACCUGAGAGAGCACUCGUCAGCCCCUUAGCAUCCGACUGCCCCAUCACGCACCGGAAGAUUCCUAAUCCAGCACUAUAGUAAACAUAACAACAAGCCCUUGCUACUUGGUGAGCAGAGUAAAUGGAUGUGUAAUUGUCAGGGUGCUAGUAGGAGAAUCCUUUCCUCCCCCUCCCCCCAUCCAUUACCUGGUUUCUGAUAGGAGAGUCCCUUCCCUCCCCUUAUCCUAUCCCAAACCCACCGGUUUAAGUUCCUUCUAACUUUCAAAUUAUGUGAUUCUAAUUAGGAGCAAAUCAGAGACGAAGAAGAGCAAGUGAGUUUAUCUGCUCGGACUCCAGGCAACUUUUGAGGGCUGUUUGGAAAGCAGACUGGAGUUAUCCCUUUGCUCGGCCUGUCUGACCUGAGCAGCUCAUCAGCAGAGAUUUACUUAUUCUCUAGUCAUUCCAGAAUGCAGAUGAGGAAAACUGAGGCCUAGGAAAAGACUUUUUUGAGGUUUUUGAAAGGAGUCACUUCAAAGUCAUCCUCCAGGAUUACUGGCUUUGGUCCAUGAAUCUUUUAAAGGUCAGAAGUACAGUGGGAUCUGGAGUGAAGAAGACUCAAACGUGCCUCAGAUACUUAUUAGUUGUGGGACUCUGCACAAAUGAUUUCACCUCUGCCUCUAUUUCCUCAUCUGUAAAAUGGAGAUGCUAAUAGCACUCACCUCACAGGGGGAUGCUGAGAGCUCUUCGCUCUGACAGAAGAGGUAAGCACUCCUACGAUAUUCAAGCCACACAGACUUUUAUUAUUCCUGUGACUACAGAGAGACAGCAAGACAGGGAAUGCGGACGGGCAGUUGGUGCUGCCAGCUGCCAAAUAUGCAUUCUGAAGAUAAGCUCAUUUCAAGGAAUGAGGCAAGUUUUAAUGAUCAGAGCAAGGUGAGGAGCCAGCUUGGCCAGUCAGAGAGAGACGUGAAAGAACGAGGGUCAGGGCUGGCUGAAUACAAAGACCAGAAGGCAAAGCCAGGUAAGGCAGCCAAAGUUCGGCUAAGGAGAAAGCCGGUAUUGUAGAGGAAUGGAAGAAGGGCAAAUAGAAGAGCAAAGAGAUUCAGAGGCUCACAGAGAGCUGGCAUACUAGCUGAUGGAUGUAAAGCCCUGGGCUAGGCUUCAAGGACUACUUUCUGUGAGCUGAUACUUGUUGCUUCCACCAGGGAACUCUGUGCUUCCAGGAAAGUAGAUGCAACAAACAUGGCAGCCUCAAUGGGAGGAAUGAACAGCGCUCUUCCCAACCUUUCCAAUUCAACAAGUUUUUAUUAAGCACAUGCUAUACGCUGCCGUUCUCCAAGAAGACCAUGAUGUCAGGGAGGUGAUGCCGUCCAACUAAACUGGAUUUAAGUGAGGGAGGGACCACAGAGUCACCAGUUCAACCUCUGAUCAUACAAAGAAAACAGUCAUGUGCUUAGAUAAGUAAAUAGAAAAUUCGAAGAAAAUAAAUACAAAGUAACUUUGAGGGGUGGGGACCACCACCUAGGAGAUCAAGAUCUUAUUUAAGCUAUGGAGAGUGAGCCAGGAAUCAUGAAGACCGGACAGACACGUCCCAAUCAGGGAUCCUGUGCUCUGUUCUUCUGACGUUAAGUUCAAGGCUCUUUCCCUUCCUCCCUCUGCCUGGAUAUCCAUGACUGUGCACAGGGAUAGGCAAUUGUGUAUGUGGGCCUGAAAAGUAGGAAGCCCGAGUUCCCCCCCAGCUCCAGAACUUCCCAACUAUAUGAGGCCGGGCAAACUGAUUAAUCUUUCCAGACCUCAGUCUCCUGAUCUGUAAAAUGACAAUGAAUAAUAAUACUCAUUCUUUAUUUUUGUCCGACUUUAAGAAUGACAUGGUUCUUUCCUAAAAUAGUUGGAGGGAUCGCAGAGUGCUCAUUAAAUGGAAACUUUCCCUCCACGACUCCAGACCAACAGGUCCAGCAGGCUCUCCCCCUGCUGGACCUCAGAAGGUCACAUUCCUGGGAACAAAAAGGAGGACCUGAAGCCCAAGAAGCUGGGGGAAUGGCCCAACUCACAGAGGGGCAGAAAUCCCCACCAGGUCCCCUGCCUCUGGACUCAGCACACUUGCCACUGUCCCCCCCGAUUCCCACCAUCGCUGAUCCUCCCCUUUAUAGACUGCGUUACAGUUUCCUAAGUUGUAAAAAAGGAUUUACUAGAAACAAUAAUAAACAUUCAAACAACCAGUUAAA